This is a long non-coding RNA of Vicia villosa (hairy vetch), 236 nucleotides long. RefSeq lists it as uncharacterized. Lineage: Eukaryota; Viridiplantae; Streptophyta; Magnoliopsida; Fabales; Fabaceae. The record is from RefSeq and is a predicted model, not a curated record. The transcript has 3 exons.
CUUAUAGAACUGCUUCUGUUACCGUUUUCGCUAAUUAUUUCUCUGCAAGAAAUAUCACCUUCAAGGUGUUGCAAAAGAAUGAUGCUAAUGCAUAUAUUUUGCGCUUUAAAAUUUUAAGGUGGCGCAUCUCUUCACACUGGGGUUUCUAUUCCUCAUCGCUUGCAUUGGAAAAGAAUGAGAAAGGAAAAGGGUGCAGAUCCAUCAUUGACCGAGUUCUAUUUUCUUUUCAUUUUGAC